Long non-coding RNA from Papaver somniferum (opium poppy), 250 nucleotides. RefSeq lists it as uncharacterized. The record is from RefSeq and is a predicted model, not a curated record. The transcript is spliced from 3 exons. NCBI's taxonomy places the organism in Eukaryota, Viridiplantae, Streptophyta, Magnoliopsida, Ranunculales, Papaveraceae.
ACUUAUUCUUUGCAGGGGUUAUAUUGAUACAUAAGCAGCUUCAGGGAGGAGAGGAGUAAGAUAGAAAACAGCAUUUGGAUACAAGUAUAAAUUUGUCAGGUUCAACAAGCAGUAUGUUAACAGAUCCUGCGAUCACCUAGCAGACCAACUUGCUGAAGCUGCUAGCUGUAGCAGGCUUUGAGACUGACAUAUGCUUACAAACACAGUGUGUGUUGGACAGAGUGGUUAUUGGGUAGUGACAAACAUUUCA